Molecule: ribosomal RNA, 207 nt
Filed under: uncultured Levilinea sp.
Lineage: Bacteria; Bacillati; Chloroflexota; Anaerolineae; Anaerolineales; Anaerolineaceae
Description: partial 16S ribosomal RNA
Rfam family: Bacterial small subunit ribosomal RNA
Source: RNAcentral
UGACGUCAAGUCAGCAUGGCCUUUAUAUCCUGGGCUACACACACGCUACAAUGGGAAGGGACAAUAGGUUGCGAAACCGCGAGGUGGAGCCAAUCCAGCAAAACUUCCCUACAGUUCAGAUUGCAGGCUGCAACUCGCCUGCAUGAAGUUGGAGUUGCUAGUAAACGCAGGUCAGCCAUACUGCGUUGAAUACGUUCCCGGGGGCUU